AUGGCAAAUACAACCAAAUACGCGAUGGGACAUGACAACGCUGAUGGUUCAGGUUUUCUCUCUUUUCUCGUUAAACAAUAGAUCUAGGUUUUCUGAGUUUACAGUUUUUCUAUUAGUAGGCCCUUUCCUCUUAAUCUCUUAAACCCUAAAACUUCCAGGAAUGCAAGAAUUGAUGCUGCGUAAGCUAAGAGGAGAAUAGAAAGUUCGGUAGAACACAUAUUUGAAGAUGUUUUGGGCGUUAGGGUCAGAUUUUGAACGACAACAAUGGUUUUCUUCUUCCUCCACUCAUCUUCCUUUAUAUUUCUAUGAUUUUCAUCUGGUAUUUCUCAAAAUCUGUAGGUUUUGUUUUUGGAUUUAAUAUUCUUAGAUCACUAGCUAUCUAUCAAAAGUUUAGGGAUUUUUUGGUUUUACAUUAUGAUUCUUACUGUUCUUCAUGUUGUUUGCUUAC
Molecule: long non-coding RNA, 448 nt
Filed under: Trifolium pratense (red clover)
Lineage: Eukaryota; Viridiplantae; Streptophyta; Magnoliopsida; Fabales; Fabaceae
Description: long non-coding RNA (TPRA_LNC005797)
Source: RNAcentral